This is a non-coding RNA of Caenorhabditis elegans, 216 nucleotides long. The record is from Ensembl. NCBI's taxonomy places the organism in Eukaryota, Metazoa, Nematoda, Chromadorea, Rhabditida, Rhabditidae.
CACCGAAUUUCCGUCUCUUUUCGUUUUUUCCGCUUGACAGCUUUAACCUGUGUCUCUUUGAAUCUUUGACUACCUCAGCCACUAUCGAAAUUAAAAAGUCAGAUAUGCAUUUAGCCGACGACACGCAAGCCUAAGAUUGCACAUAAAAGUACACAUGAUCUUAUCGUAGAAACUUUUAGGAAUGAAACUUCUUUAUAUGCAUGAGAAUGGGAUUUU